UUUUUUUUUUUUCCUUGGGACGCUUGUUUUCUCGGGGGGAAAAAAAAAUUCCUGCGCCCCAGAUCGUGUGAUGAAAGCUACCUCGGCUGCCGGAGCUGAGUGGUUUUUUCCCCAGCUUCACUGAAGAUCAAGAAGCAAGGAAUUUGCAUUUGUGAAAACCAUGACCACCUUUCAAGUUGAGGAGAAAUCCCUCUCAUCCAAACCAUCUAAUUUUUGGCUUUUGGCAUCACCUUACCUUGUCCAUAGAAGUUUCAAUAAAAACGUAUUGAGGGCUCCCCUGGUGACUCAGUGGUAGAGAACCCGCCUGCCAAUGCCGGAGACACAGGUUCCAUCCCUAGUCUGGGAGGAUUGCGCAUGCCAUGGGACAGCUAGACCUGUGGGCCACAACUACGUAGCCAGUGCUCUAGAGCCCACGAGCCACAGCUAUUAAGCCCACGCAUUGCAAGUACUGGAGCCCAUGCACCCUAAAGCCUGUGCUCUGCAACGAGAGAAAUCACUGCAAUGAGAAGCCUGCACACCACAGCCAGAGAGUAGCCCGCAUUCACUACAACUAGAGAAAGCCCACACACAGCAACAAAGACCCAGCACAGCUAUAAAUAAAUACAUAAAUCUUUAAAAAAAAAUGUAUUGAGCACCUACUGUAUGCUAGGCAUUAGGUAAAAAAAUACACACGCACAUUAUUUAAGCCUUCUAGGAACUCAGAGGUGUGUGGUUUUGUGUGUGUGUGUGUGUGUGUGAAAUCACAGUAUAAUGAGUUAUGAACACCAAAAUAGAUUUGAACAACCUGCUGUGAGAGUAUGCAACGGGAAAAGAUAACUCUGCAAAGAUUUGGCUGAGGAAAUGUGAUUUUAAGUAUUGGAGGAUUGGUAGGAAUUGGCCUGGUCAAAACCCAACAAACAAAAAUGUAGAAGGAUAGUCCACAGGGCUGAACAGAAUCCACAGAGGCACGAAGGCAUGGGGGAAGAUGAUUGGGAAACAUGAUGCAUAGGCUGGUGUUACGAUGCUUGGUGUAUGUGUUCUAAAGUGAGUAGGAAGAGCUGUUCCAUAAAAGAGGGAGGGGCUGACCCUGGAAGAAAGGAGGAGAGCUGGACAAACAAAAGGAGCAACAUCCACCACCUUGCCCACCAUGCCUUGUCAGUUUCACAGAGCUCCUGCGAAGAUCCUGUUUUUACAGUUAAGAAAACUGUGGUUCUGAGAAGUUGUGUAACUUGCUCAAGAUGACAUGUUUCAAGUGAUGGAGAUUUUUGGAUUAAAAAAAUAGAUUUACCUGUUAACCAAAGCUAGAGUAAUUGGGAGAGUGAUGUAUAUUGAAAGGAUAGACACAAACACCAGUGGGACAGAAUACACAGUCCACAAAGAGAUCAUCCCUAUAUUGUCAACCUGUUUUUAACCAAAAAGCAAAUCCAAUUUAAUGUAGGAAGGAUGGUCUUUGCAAUAAAUGGUGUUGAAACAAGUAACAACCGUAUGGGAAAAAAAUGAGGAGAGGGAAGGAAAUCGGGAAGGAGGAAGAGGAAGUAGAGAAGGAGGAGGGAAAAAAAACCCCACAACCAAUAAUACCUUUUAUCUUGUGCAAAAAUCACCUCAAAAUGGAUCACAGAUCUAAAUGUAAAAUUUAAAACUAUAAAACUUCUAAAGAAAACAUAGGCGAAAAACCACUGUGACUUUGGAUGAGGGAAAGAAUUCUUAAAUAUGACACUGAAGGAAUGAUCCAUGAAGGGAAAAAUCCACAGUUGAACUUCAUAAAAAUUAACAACUUUUAUUGUGUCAAAGACACUGUUAAGAGAAUGAAAAGACAAACCACAGGCUAAUAGAAAUAUUUUCAAAUCACAUACCUGACAGAAGACUUACGUGUAUAAUAUAUGAGAACUUUUAAAACUUCCUAUAGGAAAACAACCCAUUUAAAACUGGGCAAAAGAUUUCGAACAGGUACUUCAUGAAUGGUGAAUAAAUGUAUGCACAUAUUCUCAACAUCAUUAGUAAUUAUGAAAUUGUAAAUUAAAACCACAGUGAAAUAAUACCACACGGCUGUUAGAAUGGCUAUAACCCAACCCAAAUCAAACUGAAACAAAUCAAAAAACUACAUGCUGGCAAGGGUAUUGAACAACUGGAACUCUCAUAUAUUCCUGUUCCUGGUAGGGGUGCCAAAUAGUACAGUCACUUUGGGAAAGAAUUUGGCAGUUUCUUAUAAAGGUGAACAUACACUUAGCAAAUAACCCAGUAAUCCUAGGUGUUCACCCAAGUGAAAUGAACACUUAAGUUCACACAAAAACACUGUACAUGAUUGUUUAUUGCAGCUUCAUUCAUAAUCACCCAAACUGGAAACCCAAAUGUCCAUCAACCAUUGAAUGGAUACACUGUGGCACAUGUAU
Long non-coding RNA from Bos taurus (domestic cattle), 2369 nucleotides. The record is from Ensembl. NCBI's taxonomy places the organism in Eukaryota, Metazoa, Chordata, Mammalia, Artiodactyla, Bovidae.